CGACAGCAGGUAAACGAGCCGCGGGGAGCCCUUCAGGUGUCCGUAUAAAACGAGGAGCAGGGCUCCGGGCUCGGAGGAACCUCUGGCCCCCUGUGGGGAGGAGGCAGCUCCGAGUUGGAGCCCCGGCUGCAGGACGCCACACCCGGUGGAUGCUGAAAAUCCCCGGUCCUGAAGCCCAAACAAGCAGGACGCGUGAGGAACUGGGAGAUGGGGACGUGGAGACCACGCCAAACGCGGACCGGCGGACUGGACAACGGUGAUGUCCGUGGAUACGAGCAAAUGGACCGAGCCUAUGCUGGAUUCUAGCGGAGGUCGGGCUCGACGAAGGAGUUUCUCGUGGUUUUUUAGAACUAAGUUGGUUGCGAUGAGGAGGUAGGGAUAAACUUUUCAGCUUUUUACGCUAUCGAUCUCUCCCGGAAACGGGAAGAUGAGCCCUGCUUUGGGACCCAUUUGGAGCAUCUCAAAAAUCACUUAGCGCAUCAUUCCCCGCAGCCAGGAUCAAUCCGAGCAGCGGACCUGCUUCUCACCGAGGACCGGGGCGAAGUGGAGAACGGGCCUGUGUGUCUGCGCGCGGGAACAAAACACCCUGACGCAGGAUGUUACAAAGGGCCGACGUCCUGCAGCAGCAGCGUGGGACCACACGCGAACCUCCUCCUGUUCUGUGUAUGGCACUGGUAGAAUUCACUGUCACGGCAAGAUAUCAGUGAAUUACCAUAGGGCCAUAAACAGAGUAGAGACACCACGACGCUGCCUGGGGGUGUGUGUGUGUAUCAGCAGCGUGAAUGUCUCACAUCUUCUUCGCCUGUUUUGGCACUAGCACAUUUUUGCUUUGUUUCUCGUUGUUGGGGCAAUUAUGUGUGGUGCCAAUUUAGGACAAGACAGACGAUCAGCUGUGUGUGUUCCUGAGCUGUGGAUGUGAUCGGUUCUUAUUAGAUAUCACCGGUUGCCAUGGAGGCCAGUCUCUGAGAUGCCGUCCUGUGUAACCUGACCCCCCCCCCCUCCUCCCCUGGCGUCACACAGACACAGGGGGGGCACCGGUGCACUCUCCCACAGUGUUUGGCAAUGGUAGAACUCACUCUGGUGGGAUGGACGGAUCCGGUGGUUCUGGACUUGCCAAAAACUGGCCGAGAGCUUUUAGCCCUCCGCGCUCCGGCUCAGCGGGGACUGGUUGGUGCAGCGGGUGCACGGGGGUGGAAACAUCCCAGGAGGACGCGGCUGCUCUCGCUGCCCCGGCGUCGUGUUGGCCACACGUAGCCGCUCGUGACAUCAAACACUCAGUGAAACCCUAGCGGUCAAACGCUGAGGGAUGAGGGCCAGUGGAGACUUUUGACUCCUGGGCCGUAGCACAUCGAUCCAAGCAGUGAGUUCACUAUCAUGUCCCCUGAUCAAUAAAUCUAUCGCGUUCUCGUGCGCCGUGACACCAGCAGCUGAAAGCUAACUCAGGCUUUGGUGCAGCCUGGUGGAGGCAACGUUCUUUAGCUGCCAGUUUAGCAGAAAAGAGGGAGGGUGAAAAAUGAGGCCAACCUGUGUCUUCGUAAUAACAGCGUGUUAAAUGGGAUAAAAUGAAUGAAGCAGGGUCAGGGUCGGCGUCUGCAGAGGAUGUGGGGUCACGCGGUGGCAGCCGACGCACAGAGAGCAGGAGGGAGGCCGACGCGCUGACAGCUGCUACGAGUGAUUAGAGCACGUAGUGAUGCAGAGAGGACGCCAAAGCUCUUUAGGGAGAAUCCCCAGCGAGGAGGAGGAGAGCGCGCGCGCGCACACACACACACACACACACACACACACACACACACACACACACACACACACACACACACACAGAAAGUGGGUGGGAUCUUCAGAUUAUAAUGGGUGUGGAAGUUGAUGGAUCUCCUCAUUAAUCUCUUUUAGACCAAUGACUGUUCAGUUGUGCUUGUCUCCAUUGUAUUAUCCGCAGUAACAUUGUUAUCGUGACAGUGAUAUUACAGAUAUUUUGCAGUGAUCUGGGUUCCAUUUUAUUUGUGAUUAUCCUCAAAAAAGAAGAGAGCAGGUACGGGCACCAGGCAAAUAUCUAUCUAUAUCAAAUUCUAUAUCAAAUUUUAUGUAGUCAUCAGAAGAAGAAAUGAGCAGGAGGUAGUGGUGGCAUUCAUUAGUCACGAGCGCUGCUCUCGUGUACUGUCCUGUCAGGACCUUCAGCCAGGUCACGUCUUGGUACACACAAACAUAGGGAGACUCUGGAUUACAGUAAUCCACGGACAGGGGGGUAUUUUUAGGACCUUGUGGUCAGAGACAGCCUGGAUAUAACCAUCAAGGAAAACAGACUGUGAUCGUCAUACGAACAGAUGGAUUCUCUGGGAUCAGGGCGAAUAAAGUAGCAGGAAACAAAUGCCGACUACUGUCUUUGCAAAUAAAGUGGAUAAAAACUAAAACCAGUGUCGGUUUGCUUUAAAACGACCUGGUGCUAAAAAAGGAAAUUUGAUUUCCAAACCAGAUUAUUUUCUUACUGAAGCCUAAAUGACAUUGGGAUAAUGAUACAGAAAAGAACAGAAGUGUGACAGACGCCACUAGAUGGCAGCAUUUCCCCACUGACUAAGCUGAAGCUUCACAGACCAAAUGAAGGAUGUGAUGAAAGCAGCCUAGAAGCACCUACCCCAGAGGAUCAGCCCACCUGGCACUGGCAGCCCGGCUCAUUCCAGUGGUACCUGUCAAGAAAGGGCAACCCUCAGGCAUCAUGUAGUCAGGUUCAACGCCUGACGUGUUGGAAGCAGGGGAAUAAGCACAUUUAUAAACACAUAAUAGAUUUCGUUUGAAAGAACCCGUGUAUGUAUCUACAGGUGUCCGCUAGAGGGCGCCACCGUUGUGCUGAUAAACUGUGGUUUAUGUUAUUUUCUUUAUUCCAUACUGUUUAUUCAUUACAUGAUCCGUAUUCUGUUUAUUACUUUCUGUUUAUUUAAAUAACCGUAGUUGGAGCUGUCUAUUAAGCUUCUUGUCUGAGUGCAAAGAGCCACAAUAAUGAAGUGGAGCCUUGACCUUUUGUA
Betta splendens (Siamese fighting fish) is the source of this 3017-nucleotide long non-coding RNA. RefSeq lists it as uncharacterized. The record is from RefSeq and is a predicted model, not a curated record. Lineage: Eukaryota; Metazoa; Chordata; Actinopteri; Anabantiformes; Osphronemidae. The transcript has 4 exons.